UACGUAGGGGGCAAGCGUUGUCCGGAAUUAUUGGGCGUAAAGCGCGCGCAGGCGGUUCGUUAAGUCUGAUGGUAAAGCCCGGGGCUCAACCCCGGUAUUCAUUGGAGACUGGCGGACUGGAGUGCAGGAGAGGGAAGCGGAAUUCCCGGUGUAGAGGUGAAAUUCGUAGAUAUCGGGAGGAACACCAGUGGCGAAGGCGGCGAUCUGGGAAGAUACUGACGCUGAGGUGCGAAAGCGUGGGGAGCAAACAGG
RNAcentral lists this ribosomal RNA (252 nucleotides) under uncultured bacterium. RNAcentral describes it as "partial 16S ribosomal RNA". It matches the Rfam family "Bacterial small subunit ribosomal RNA", at positions 524 to 776 of the family's 1533-position model. The record is from RNAcentral.